This 254-nucleotide signal recognition particle RNA is filed under the name Candidatus Crickella merdequi. RNAcentral describes it as "signal recognition particle sRNA large type". The stretch from base 120 to 219 matches the Rfam family "Bacterial small signal recognition particle RNA". Lineage: Bacteria; Bacillati; Bacillota; Clostridia; Peptostreptococcales; Anaerovoracaceae. The record is from RNAcentral.
UCGAGCGGAGCAGAAGCUCCGCUCUUUUAUCGAAAGACUUACUAUCUAACAAUAGAAAACAGUACCAACUUCGUACAAAAAAUGAUAUAAUAUACGAGCCUUUAGACGGCUUGCAGUACGUAGGGGUCCUGCGCAAUAGGGUGCCGUGAACCUUGUCAGGUCCGAGAGGAAGCAGCAAUAAGCGGUUAACACUAUGUGUUGCAGAUAAGCCUCUGCGUGCUGCAAACCGCCUAAGGGUUUUUUAUUAGAUUAGA